CCUCAUCUUUUCCCAAUUCAUUAUGCAUCUUCACGCAUCACUCUCUCCCCCUUCUCAAUUCCCCGUAACUCUCGUCCCUGCAAGGAUAUACUUCCUUCCGAAACACAAGAGGCUUUAGCAUCAUUUUCCGACUAUGAAAAGGAUCCUUUUUGAUAUGUCGACGACAGUGGUCAGGAAGGGGAGCAAUUGCUGAACCAGUGAGUUAACCGGAAAUCAGAUUCACCACAGCAAUGGUUUGCUUCCAUAUCUUUGAAUGCGUAUUAAUUGUGCUGUUUAUUUUAAUUAUUCCAGCUAUUGCAGCCAUAACAUCCUACAUAUAUCACCUUCGUAUCAUGAUUCCAUUUGUGAUUUUGGAUUUAAUUAUAGUGGGGAUCAUCCAUCAAUAUAGGGCAAAAAUCACCCGAAGGUAAUCGAGUUCUUAGCAAUCAAAUACUUCAAGAGAAUUAAUAGAGGUAUUUUUAUGGGCUUUAAGACUCUACUUACAAAAUAUCAUUGACCCCGAAUGCAUAAUUUGCGUCUUCACCCUACUGAACUAUUCGUAUUACCUGAUUUCCUUUGUUCUGUUUCUGAGACAUACUAAAGUUCUAAUUUUUCUGGAAUUUGCAUUAGAAAUAAAUGUCGUUAUUUUAGUACAUUUUUAGAAAAUUGAUUGAUAGUGGCAAAAAACUUAAAAGGUUAUGAAUAUGGAUUAUUUGGUCCAUCAAUUAAUACGCAUUGAAAGAUAUGGAAGCAAACCAUCGCUGUGGUGAAUCUGAUUUCCAGUUAACUCACCGGUUCAGCAAUUGCUCCCCUUCCUGACCACUGUUGUCGACACAUCAGAAAGGAUCCUGAAAGAGUCUGCAUACCAUUAAUCCUUCGUUCGUUAUUUUUGUGCUCUGCUUUUUUUUUUUUUCACCAACUUUAAAUCUCUUGUCACACUAGCAAAUCUUAUACAUAAAGAAUCUCACUUUUAAAAAAUUUAUAGUUGACUUAAAGCUUAAAAUUUAUAGUUGUAGUGGCAUAGAAUACAUAAAGAAUCUCACUUUCAAAAAAUUCUUCUUAGCAUUUCUCACUUUUUAGUCUUCGAAUAAGGUCUAAGGUGACCGUGGUGUGCAAAUUACUAAGACUCCGAGACAGCGACAAUUGGGAUGAAGAUCAUAGAUGCUCAAGUAUAUAUGUCGACAACUUGGCAUUUUAUGGAAACAAGCAUUAGUGUUGUGGCGCUAUUGAAUUGACAAAGCAAUUUGCAGGUGGAAUGGGAAAGUGUAACAUGUAUGUCAAGAAAAAAUAGUAUAUAUUAUACUAUGAAGCCACAAACUUAUCAACUCAUUUUUAGCAAAUUUUAAUAAGAUAAAUGGCAAGGAAAAGAUGAUACAUAUGAAAUAUCUUGGUUCCUUGCUAUAUUUCUUCCUUUA
This is a long non-coding RNA of Pyrus x bretschneideri (Chinese white pear), 1394 nucleotides long. RefSeq lists it as uncharacterized. Lineage: Eukaryota; Viridiplantae; Streptophyta; Magnoliopsida; Rosales; Rosaceae. The transcript has 3 exons. The record is from RefSeq and is a predicted model, not a curated record.